This 253-nucleotide ribosomal RNA is filed under the name uncultured bacterium. RNAcentral's name for it is "partial 16S ribosomal RNA". It matches the Rfam family "Bacterial small subunit ribosomal RNA", at positions 524 to 776 of the family's 1533-position model. The record is from RNAcentral.
UACGUAGGGGGCUAGCGUUGUUCGGAAUCACUGGGCGUAAAGCGCACGUAGGCGGAUUUUUAAGUCAGGGGUGAAAUCCCGAGGCUCAACCUCGGAACUGCCUUUGAUACUGGAGAUCUUGAGUCCGGAAGAGGUAAGUGGAACUGCGAGUGUAGAGGUGAAAUUCGUAGAUAUUCGCAAGAACACCAGUGGCGAAGGCGGCUUACUGGUCCGGAACUGACGCUGAGGUGCGAAAGCGUGGGGAGCAAACAGG